Molecule: unclassified non-coding RNA, 341 nt
Filed under: fungal sp.
Lineage: Eukaryota; Fungi
Description: partial internal transcribed spacer region
Rfam family: Eukaryotic small subunit ribosomal RNA (bases 1-46)
Source: RNAcentral
AAGUCGUAACAAGGUUUCCGUAGGUGAACCUGCGGAAGGAUCAUUAACACAAAGCAAGUUAGCACUUCACAGUGCUUUCUUCUUAACCCCCCUUUUAUGCGAACUUGUUUGUGUUUCUUUUCAUUCAUUCGUGAGUGAGGGAAACCCUGUCUAAAUGGAGAGAGGUGAGAACGGCGUGUGGCUGCGUGCCCUCGCUGACAACCCCACUCUCUUCAUUUGUUUUCAACCUUUUUUAUUAACCCCUUGAACUGUUUUUGACUGAACUUGUGUCCUUCCUUUCAUUAGGAAUUACACACACAUCCAACGCUGAACAACUCUUAGCAACGGAUAUCUUGGCUCUC